AGCGAGGUAUAGAGUUCCU
RNAcentral lists this microRNA (19 nucleotides) under Culex quinquefasciatus (southern house mosquito). RNAcentral describes it as "cqu-miR-276-5p". Its record names the gene cqu-miR-276-5p. RNAcentral also lists the same sequence under 1 other name. Lineage: Eukaryota; Metazoa; Arthropoda; Insecta; Diptera; Culicidae. The record is from miRBase by way of RNAcentral.